RNAcentral lists this microRNA precursor (136 nucleotides) under Puccinia graminis f. sp. tritici CRL 75-36-700-3. Its description in RNAcentral is "microRNA MIR807". The record is from RNAcentral. Lineage: Eukaryota; Fungi; Basidiomycota; Pucciniomycetes; Pucciniales; Pucciniaceae.
UUCCUUCUGGUCAACGAGAAGUUAUACCUCAUCGAUCGGAAGGGAUUCCUUCCGGUCGAUGAGGUAUAACAUCCUCAUUGACGGAAGGAAUCCCUUCCGAUCAAUGAGGUAUAACAAUCUCAUUGACAGGAAGGGA